RNAcentral lists this transfer RNA (63 nucleotides) under Dipodomys ordii (Ord's kangaroo rat). It matches the Rfam family "tRNA". From Rfam's summary of the family: Transfer RNA (tRNA) molecules are approximately 80 nucleotides in length. Their secondary structure includes four short double-helical elements and three loops (D, anti-codon, and T loops). Further hydrogen bonds mediate the characteristic L-shaped molecular structure. tRNAs have two regions of fundamental functional importance: the anti-codon, which is responsible for specific mRNA codon recognition, and the 3' end, to which the tRNAs corresponding amino acid is attached (by aminoacyl-tRNA synthetases). tRNAs cope with the degeneracy of the genetic code in two manners: having more than one tRNA (with a specific anti-codon) for a particular amino acid; and 'wobble' base-pairing, i.e. permitting non-standard base-pairing at the 3rd anti-codon position. The record is from Rfam by way of RNAcentral. Lineage: Eukaryota; Metazoa; Chordata; Mammalia; Rodentia; Heteromyidae.
GGUGGCUCAGUGGUAGAGUGCUUGCCUUGCAUGCAUGAGGCCUUGGGUUCGAUUCCUCAGCCA